AUGGCGAAGAACGUGGACAGGCCGCUCUUCACCGCGACGUUUAACGUCCAGAGCAGCUCUGCCGACUACGUCACCUUCAUCACUGGCCUCCGCAACAAGCUCAGCAACCCCGACCACUUCUUCCACAACCGCCCCGUGCUGCCGCCGAUCGAGCCCAAGUUUCGCCCCGGGCCCCCGAAAUCUCAGGACCGGCCCUGCACCUAUGUCGGGUUCGGCGGCACCUACCGCGACCUCCUCGGUGACACCGACAAGCUGACCAACGUCGCUCUCGGCCGGCAGCAGAUGGCCGACGCAGUGACCGCGCUCCACGGGCGCACCAAGGCUGACAAGACCUCCGGCCCGAAGCAGCAGCAUGCGAGGGAGGCGGUGACGACGCUGCUCCUCAUGGUACACGAGGCCACGCGGCUCCAGACCGUGUCGGGGUUCAUGGCCAGCCUGCUGCACCCCAAGGCGGUAGAGAAGAAGAGCGGGAAGAUCUCCAAUGAGCUAAAGGCCCAGGUGAACGGGUGGCAGGACCUGUCCGAAGCGCUGCUGAAGACGGACGCGAAGCCCCUGCCGGGGAAGUCGCCAGCGAAGUUCACGCCGAUCGAGAAGAUGGGCGUGAGGACGGCGGAGCAGGCGGCCGCCACGUUGGGGAUCCUGCUGUUCGUCCAGGUGCCGGGUGGGAUGACGGCGGCCCGGGCGUUGAAGCUGUUUCAUGCGAGUGGGGGGAAAUAG
RNAcentral lists this ribosomal RNA (717 nucleotides) under Triticum aestivum (bread wheat). RNAcentral's name for it is "partial small subunit ribosomal RNA". Lineage: Eukaryota; Viridiplantae; Streptophyta; Magnoliopsida; Poales; Poaceae. The record is from RNAcentral.